UUUAUUAGUUGAUAGUAUAAUGUGUAAUGUCAGAUUUUAGCUAAUGCUUCAGUGGCUAAUAUUUCUUUUGCUGAGCACUUAUAUGUCUGUGUCCUUCUCUGGUCUUCACUUGGAGAACUAGUAUGGAAAAGAUUUACUGGUUAUCUAGGUUCUAUGUACACAGAAGGAGGUGCUUUUUCAUCCCCAGAUUGAAGCUUCCAAAUUAAUCUCCUUUCCAAUACCCAGCUAUACUGAUCUAAAGAUGAAGCCACAAGCCUCCUCUUGCAGAAACCAGGGAAGAGAAUAAAAUUCCUCUGUGGCAUUUGACAAGACUGUCUGUAUGUGAAGUCCUACACUGAGGCAGAAUUUCCUGAUUUAUGCGCAUCACCCCUUGUCCUGUCACUGAGAAGAGCCUGGCUCCAUGGUCUUUAUUCCCUCACCAGGUACAUUAUGGACAAUAUCAUCACCAUCAUCAUCCUCUUUUUGGAUUGGAGUGAUGGUCUUGACAGCAGCUGCUUCCCAUCACCAAGGAGAUGAGACAAAAUAGUCUGGAGCAUGACAUAAAUA
Pezoporus occidentalis (night parrot) is the source of this 546-nucleotide long non-coding RNA. RefSeq lists it as uncharacterized. The record is from RefSeq and is a predicted model, not a curated record. Lineage: Eukaryota; Metazoa; Chordata; Aves; Psittaciformes; Psittacidae. The transcript is spliced from 4 exons.